Molecule: ribosomal RNA, 530 nt
Filed under: Pseudofusicoccum adansoniae
Lineage: Eukaryota; Fungi; Ascomycota; Dothideomycetes; Botryosphaeriales; Botryosphaeriaceae
Description: SSU rRNA
Rfam family: Bacterial small subunit ribosomal RNA
Source: RNAcentral
AAAUGACAAUUUUCUAUCUAUAUGUCUUGACCAAAUCUUGUGCCAGCAGUCGCGGUAAUACAAGGGAGACUAGUGUUAUUCAUCUUAAUUAGGUUUAAAGGGUACCUAGACGGUAUAUUAAGCCCCCAAAGGGAACGGAUAUACUAGAGUUUUAUGUGAGAGGUAAAUAUAGUACUAUUGGUGUAGAGAUAAAAUUCAUUGAUACCUCUAGGCACGGGUAACGGCGAAGGCAAUCCUCUAUGUAAAAACUGACGUUGAGGGACGAAGGCAUGGGGAGCGAAUAGGAUUAGAUACCCUAGUAGUCCAAGCAGACAAUUAUGAAUGUCAUAGAUUAGAGAAUUUUUGAUCUAUAAAUGAAAGUGUAAGCAUUCCACCUCAAGAGUAAGCGGCAACGUUGGAACUGAAAUCAUUAGACCGUUUCUGAAACCAGUAGUGAAGUAUGUUAUUUAAUUCGAUGAUCCUCGAAAAUCUUACCACAAUUUGAAUGUUAAUUAAUAAAUUAACACAGGCGUUGCAUGGCUGUCUUCAGU